AUGUCUACCUGUCUCACUGAUAUGAUUGAUGCCAAUGAUGUUGAUUUUAUUGGUCUUCAAGAGACUAUGAAAAGUUCUUAUAACCCUUCCUUUUUUAGGAAGUUAGACCCUAGGCAAAAAUUUUAUUGGGAAUGGAUUCCCUCUAGGGGAAAAUCUGGAGGCAUUCUAUGUGGUGUUAGUAGGAACAAGUUUGAUAUUAUUGCUGUUAAGCAUGGCAAGUAUAUCAUUCAGUUGGAUUUAUUUGAUAAAAAUGUGAAAUGUAGCUGGUCCUUGAUGGUAGUGUAUGGAGCAGCUCAUGAUGAAAAUAAACCUGAGUUUAUUGCUGAACUAUCUCAUAUGUGUCAUGUUACUCAUAUACCUUACUUAGUGGGUGGGGAUUUCAAUAUACUUCGUCACAGUGGUGAGAAGAAUAAAAAUACUCCCAUGUCUCAUUUCUCAGAUGUGUUUAAUUCUGUCAUCCAUUUACUUGGGCUUAGGGAGAUUUGCAUGUCUGGAGGGGCAUACACGUGGUCUAACAAACAGGAGAAUCCCACUCUGGAAAAGCUGGAUAGAGUUUUAAUGUCACCUGAAUGGGAGGAUCUAUAUCCUCUAGUCUCGGUUAGUAAAUUGGUUAAAGACCUAUCUGACCACAAUCCCCUAUUGUUGGAUGGGGGGCGGGCUGCAGCUAGAGCACCAGGGAUAGGUGCUUUAGGUUUGAUAAUAACUGGCUGA
Molecule: ribosomal RNA, 711 nt
Filed under: Triticum aestivum (bread wheat)
Lineage: Eukaryota; Viridiplantae; Streptophyta; Magnoliopsida; Poales; Poaceae
Description: partial small subunit ribosomal RNA
Source: RNAcentral